UAGGGUCCCUGUGGUUUCACUCUCUUUAUGGAUCAGAUCCCCUUUGCCAAGAAACUCUAUGCCGACGAUGACACAACCACUGCCAUUACUACGAUCUUUGGUCGCCUUCCAAGAAUGUCCACCAUCGGCCUCCCUCUUCUUCCGCAAACACCCUCCCCCUGUUUUUCCAGGGACCUUCCCCUUUUGAACUCCGACAUUGAUCGAGAAACAAACUAGUGGCCACGGUGGUGGUUUUGGACGAGAAUCAAACACGUGAUGCUAAUUUGCGUUUGGGUUUCUUCUUCUCGGGCGAAUAAGAAAGCAAACAAAAAAGGCAUCGAUUUGGGUUUGGGUUUGUUCAUGGAUCGAUCAUGGCAAUCUCAGUUUCAUCCUUUUGUUUUUGCAUAUGGCAACAAAGCACAUCAUCACAUGAUUAUGUUCAUCAAGAAUCACAACCCACCUUAACCACAUAUGGCAAAAUGGAAACUAUCGAUCUAGAUUGAUGGAUGAAUCCACAAUCAAAAAUCAGGCAUCAAGAAUCUGGAUCAAUACCUCAUCUAUCUUGAACAACUUCUUUUGGGUUUUUUCUGUUAAAAAUGUUUAAUUAUCACAUAAUAUUGUUUGUUUAUCAUUCUAAUAUUACAUAUCUGGGUUCACCACUAUAAUGUGUCCAGAUUUGUGUUUAAAUAUGAAUUUCAUUAGGUACAAAUU
This is a long non-coding RNA of Cynara cardunculus var. scolymus (artichoke), 690 nucleotides long. RefSeq lists it as uncharacterized. The transcript is spliced from 3 exons. NCBI's taxonomy places the organism in Eukaryota, Viridiplantae, Streptophyta, Magnoliopsida, Asterales, Asteraceae. The record is from RefSeq and is a predicted model, not a curated record.